Molecule: ribosomal RNA, 894 nt
Filed under: Inocybe leiocephala
Lineage: Eukaryota; Fungi; Basidiomycota; Agaricomycetes; Agaricales; Inocybaceae
Description: eukaryotic LSU rRNA
Rfam family: 5.8S ribosomal RNA (bases 318-471)
Source: RNAcentral
GUAAAAGUCGUAACAAGGUUUCCGUAGGUGAACCUGCGGAAGGAUCAUUAUUGAAUAAACUUGAACAGGCUGUUGCUGGCCCUCUCUUGUGAGGGGGACAUGUGCACGCUUGUCAUCUUUAUCUCUCCAACUGUGCACACAUUGUAGACCUGGAGUCGUCUUUGUUGAUUCAUUCGAGUUGGCACUGCAGCGCUUUUCAAAACAAAAAAAAGUCUGCUCUGCCUUUUGCAUUUCCAGGUCUAUGUCAUUUUCACAACCUCAAUGUGUUUAGAAUGUCGAAUCAGGUCCUUUUUUGUACCUAUAAAAGUUAAAUAUACAACUUUCAGCAACGGAUCUCUUGGCUCUCGCAUCGAUGAAGAACGCAGCGAAAUGCGAUAAGUAAUGUGAAUUGCAGAAUUCAGUGAAUCAUCGAAUCUUUGAACGCAUCUUGCGCUCCUUGGUAUUCCGAGGAGCAUGCCUGUUUGAGUGUCAUUUCAAGUUCUCAACUGCAUCAAUUUCUCGUUGAUGUGGCUUGGAUGUGGGGGAUUGAUUAUUGCAGGCUUCUGUCAAAGGAGGUCGGCUCCCCUGAAAAGUAUUAGUGGUAUCUGAGCAGAAGAAACUACUAUAGGUGUGAUAACUAUCUAUGCCUUCAGUAUGCUGCAUAAAAACAGAUUGCACUGCUUCUAACCUAGUGAAAACCUCUCUCUACAAGGAGGGGCCACAUUUGACGAAUUUGACCUCAAAUCAGGUAGGACUACCCGCUGAACUUAAGCAUAUCAAUAAGCGGAGGAAAAGAAACUAACAAGGAUUCCCCUAGUAACUGCGAGUGAAGCGGGAAAAGCUCAAAUUUGAAAUCUGGCGGUUUUUUGACUGUCCGAGUUGUAAUCUAGAGAAGUGUUACCUGUGCUGGACCGU